This 439-nucleotide ribosomal RNA is filed under the name uncultured bacterium. Its description in RNAcentral is "partial 16S ribosomal RNA". It matches the Rfam family "Bacterial small subunit ribosomal RNA", at positions 339 to 795 of the family's 1533-position model. The record is from RNAcentral.
CUACGGGUCGCUCCAGCGGGGAAUAUUGCACAAUGGAGGAAACUCUGAUGCAGCAACGCCGCGUGGAGGAUGACACUUUUCGGAGCGUAAACUCCUUUUAUAUAGGAAGAAGAUGACGGUACUAUAUGAAUAAGCGCCGGCUAACUCCGUGCCAGCAGCCGCGGUAAUACGGAGGGCGCAAGCGUUACUCGGAAUCACUGGGCGUAAAGAGCGUGUAGGCGGAUUAAAAAGUCAGAAGUGAAAUCCUAUAGCUUAACUAUAGAACUGCUUCUGAAACUCUUAAUCUAGAAUAUGGGAGAGGUAGAUGGAAUUUCUGGUGUAGGGGUAAAAUCCGUAGAGGUCAGAAGGAAUACCGAUUGCGAAGGCGAUCUACUAGAACAUUAUUGACGCUGAGACGCGAAAGCGUGGGGAGCAAACAGGAUUAGAUACCCCGGUAGUC